AGGCAGAUGCAUGGUGUGGAAGUCAUGUAUAGAGGCAAUAAUCUGUGACAGAAAGAUUUACAUAAUAUUCUUUCAGGGCAAGUUCCCCAUCUUAAAAAGAUGGUGAAAUGCAGACGGCGUUCCUGACUGUAAUGAAUCUAAAUCAGUGUUUCUUUCUUCCACUCGUCGUUGCUGGCUGCAUUUAUUCUUGAUGUAGUCACGCUGCACCUGUGUACAUUCCCAAAGAGGUACCUUUCAGUUGUUGCAAGAAAAAGAAAGCAAAGAAGAAAAAAAUUGUGGACAUGUUCACACAUUUUCAUUACCACAAAAGUACUGAUGAAAACGCAUUGCAGUAGCUCGAAACCCCAUCUCAAGCCAGUCUCUUAUU
Molecule: long non-coding RNA, 367 nt
Filed under: Equus asinus (donkey)
Lineage: Eukaryota; Metazoa; Chordata; Mammalia; Perissodactyla; Equidae
Description: lncRNA (ENSEASG00005025017.1)
Source: RNAcentral